GACGAACGCUGGCGGCGUGCUUAACACAUGCAAGUCGAACGGAAAGGCCCCCACCUUGGUGGGGGUGCUCGAGUGGCGAACGGGUGAGUAACACGUGGGUGAUCUGCCCUGUACUUCGGGAUAAGCUUGGGAAACUGGGUCUAAUACCGGAUAGGACCAUGGUUUAGUGUCUCAUGGUGGAAAAAUUAUUGUUUUGGUGCAGGAUGAGCUCGCGGCCUAUCAGCUUGUUGGUGGGGUAAUGGCCUACCAAGGCGUCGACGGGUAGCCGGCCUGAGAGGGUGGACGGCCACAUUGGGACUGAGAUACGGCCCAGACUCCUACGGGAGGCGGCAGUGGGGAAUAUUGCACAAUGGGCGCAAGCCUGAUGCAGCGACGCCGCGUGGGGGAUGACGGCCUUCGGGUUGUAAACUCCUUUCGUUAGGGACGAAGCCACACCUUUUUUGGGUGUGGUGACGGUACCUUUGUUAAGAAGCACCGGCUAACUACGUG
This 489-nucleotide ribosomal RNA is filed under the name uncultured bacterium. RNAcentral describes it as "partial 16S ribosomal RNA". It matches the Rfam family "Bacterial small subunit ribosomal RNA", at positions 28 to 507 of the family's 1533-position model. The record is from RNAcentral.